AGAGUUUGAUCCUGGCUCAGAUUGAACGCUGGCGGCAUGCCUUACACAUGCAAGUCGAACGGUAACAGGUCUUCGGAUGCUGACGAGUGGCGAACGGGUGAGUAAUACAUCGGAACGUGCCCGAUCGUGGGGGAUAACUACUCGAAAGAGUGGCUAAUACCGCAUACGAUCUGCGGAUGAAAGCAGGGGACCCGCAAGGGCCUUGCGCGGACGGAGCGGCCGAUGGCAGAUUAGGUAGUUGGUGGGAUAAAAGCCCACCAAGCCGACGAUCUGUAGCUGGUCUGAGAGGACGACCAGCCACACUGGGACUGAGACACGGCCCAGACUCCUACGGGAGGCAGCAGUGGGGAAUUUUGGACAAUGGGGGAAACCCUGAUCCAGCAAUGCCGCGUGCAGGAUGAAGGCCUUCGGGUUGUAAACUGCUUUUGUACGGAACGAAAGGCUCCUUCAAAUAAAGGGGGCCCAUGACGGUACCGUAAGAAUAAGCACCGGCUAACUACGUGCCAGCAGCCGCGGUAAUACGUAGGGUGCAAGCGUUAAUCGGAAUUACUGGGCGUAAAGCGUGCGCAGGCGGUUAUGUAAGACAGAUGUGAAAUCCCCGGGCUCAACCUGGGAAUUGCAUUAGUGACUGCAUAGCUUGAGUGCGGCAGAGGGGGAUGGAAUUCCGCGUGUAGCAGUGAAAUGCGUAGAUAUGCGGAGGAACACCGAUGGCGAAGGCAAUCCCCUGGGCCUGCACUGACGCUCAUGCACGAAAGCGUGGGGAGCAAACGGGAUUAGAUACCCUGGUAGUCCACGCCCUAAACGAUGUCAACUGGUUGUUGGGAAUUCACUUUCUCAGUAACGAAGCUAACGCGUGAAGUUGACCGCCUGGGGAGUACGGCCGCAAGGUUAAAACUCAAAGGAAUUGACGGGGACCCGCACAAGCGGUGGAUGAUGUGGUUUAAUUCGAUGCAACGCGAAAAACCUUACCCACCUUUGACAUGUAUGGAAGGCCGCAGAGACGCGGUUGUGCCCGAAAGGGAGCCAUAACACAGGUGCUGCAUGGCUGUCGUCAGCUCGUGUCGUGAGAUGUUGGGUUAAGUCCCGCAACGAGCGCAACCCUUGCCAUUAGUUGCUACAUUGAGUUGGGCACUCUAAUGGGACUGCCGGUGACAAACCGGAGGAAGGUGGGGAUGACGUCAAGUCCUCAUGGCCCUUAUAGGUGGGGCUACACACGUCAUACAAUGGCUGGUACAAAGGGUUGCCAACCCGCGAGGGGGAGCCAAUCCCAUAAAGCCAGUCGUAGUCCGGAUCGCAGUCUGCAACUCGACUGCGUGAAGUCGGAAUCGCUAGUAAUCGUGGAUCAGAAUGUCACGGUGAAUACGUUCCCGG
RNAcentral lists this ribosomal RNA (1371 nucleotides) under metagenome. Its description in RNAcentral is "bacterial SSU rRNA". It matches the Rfam family "Bacterial small subunit ribosomal RNA", at positions 8 to 1377 of the family's 1533-position model. The record is from RNAcentral.